RNAcentral lists this ribosomal RNA (327 nucleotides) under uncultured eukaryote. Its description in RNAcentral is "partial 18S ribosomal RNA". It matches the Rfam family "Eukaryotic small subunit ribosomal RNA", at positions 1470 to 1796 of the family's 1831-position model. The record is from RNAcentral.
CCCUUAGAUGUUCUGGGCUGCACGCGCGCUACACUGAAGCGUUCAACGAGUAUUCACCUUGCCCGGGAGGGUUGGGUAAUCUUUUGAAAACGCUUCGUGAUGGGGAUAGAUUAUUGCAAUUAUUAAUCUUCAACGAGGAAUUCCUAGUAAGCGCGAGUCAUCAGCUCGUGCUGAUUACGUCCCUGCCCUUUGUACACACCGCCCGUCGCUACUACUGAUUGGAUGUUUAAGCGAGGUUCUCGAACUGCUAGUGACUGAUCUUCGGUGAGGUCGCAGUGUGGGAAGUGAACCUAGCUUUGGUGUCUAGAGGAAGUAAAAGUCGUAACA